AAAUUGAAGAGUUUGAUCAUGGCUCAGAUUGAACGCUGGCGGCAGGCCUAACACAUGCAAGUCGAACGGUAACAGGAAGCAGCUUGCUGCUUCGCUGACGAGUGGCGGACGGGUGAGUAAUGUCUGGGAAACUGCCUGAUGGAGGGGGAUAACUACUGGAAACGGUGGCUAAUACCGCAUAACGUCGCAAGACCAAAGAGGGGGACCUUCGGGCCUCUUGCCAUCAGAUGUGCCCAGAUGGGAUUAGCUUGUUGGUGAGGUAACGGCUCACCAAGGCGACGAUCCCUAGCUGGUCUGAGAGGAUGACCAGCCACACUGGAACUGAGACACGGUCCAGACUCCUACGGGAGGCAGCAGUGGGGAAUAUUGCACAAUGGGCGCAAGCCUGAUGCAGCCAUGCCGCGUGUAUGAAGAAGGCCUUCGGGUUGUAAAGUACUUUCAGCGGGGAGGAAGGUGUUGUGGUUAAUAACCGCAGCAAUUGACGUUACCCGCAGAAGAAGCACCGGCUAACUCCGUGCCAGCAGCCGCGGUAAUACGGAGGGUGCAAGCGUUAAUCGGAAUUACUGGGCGUAAAGCGCACGCAGGCGGUCUGUCAAGUCGGAUGUGAAAUCCCCGGGCUCAACCUGGGAACUGCAUUCGAAACUGGCAGGCUUGAGUCUUGUAGAGGGGGGUAGAAUUCCAGGUGUAGCGGUGAAAUGCGUAGAGAUCUGGAGGAAUACCGGUGGCGAAGGCGGCCCCCUGGACAAAGACUGACGCUCAGGUGCGAAAGCGUGGGGAGCAAACAGGAUUAGAUACCCUGGUAGUCCACGCCGUAAACGAUGUCUACUUGGAGGUUGUGCCCUUGAGGCGUGGCUUCCGGAGCUAACGCGUUAAGUAGACCGCCUGGGGAGUACGGCCGCAAGGUUAAAACUCAAAUGAAUUGACGGGGGCCCGCACAAGCGGUGGAGCAUGUGGUUUAAUUCGAUGCAACGCGAAGAACCUUACCUGGUCUUGACAUCCACGGAAGUUUUCAGAGAUGAGAAUGUGCCUUCGGGAACCGUGAGACAGGU
This 1049-nucleotide ribosomal RNA is filed under the name Salmonella enterica subsp. enterica serovar Agona. RNAcentral describes it as "partial 16S ribosomal RNA". It matches the Rfam family "Bacterial small subunit ribosomal RNA", at positions 1 to 1039 of the family's 1533-position model. RNAcentral also lists the same sequence under 1 other name. The record is from RNAcentral. Lineage: Bacteria; Pseudomonadati; Pseudomonadota; Gammaproteobacteria; Enterobacterales; Enterobacteriaceae.